CCUAAGACAUGCAAGUCGAACGAAGUAGCCUAAUGAAGACUGAGUGCUUGCACAAAGUUUGAUUUAGAUUUCUACUUAGUGGCAGACGGGUGAGUAACACGUGGGUAACCUACCUCAGAGACUGGGAUAACAGUUAGAAAUGAUUGCUAAUACCGGAUGAUUCAUAGUUAGAUAACUAAUUAUGCUAAAAGGAGCUUUCGCUUCACUUUGAGAUGGGCUUGCGUUGUAUUAGUUAGUUGGUGGGGUAAUGGCCUACCAAGACAACGAUGCAUAUCCGAGCUGAGAGGCUGAUCGGACACACUGGGACUGAGACACGGCCCAGACUCCUACGGGAGACAGCAGUUAGGAAUAUUCGUCAAUGGGGGAAACCCUGAACGAGCAAUGCCGCGUGAGUGAUUAAGGUCUUAUAGAUUGUAAAACUCUGUUGUAAAGAAAGAAACCUUAAGAUAGGAAAUGAUCUUAAGCUGACGGUACUUUACCAGAAAGCCCCGGCUAACUACGUGCC
Molecule: ribosomal RNA, 505 nt
Filed under: uncultured organism
Description: SSU rRNA
Rfam family: Bacterial small subunit ribosomal RNA
Source: RNAcentral